This is an unclassified non-coding RNA of Papio anubis (olive baboon), 148 nucleotides long. It matches the Rfam family "Metazoan signal recognition particle RNA". From Rfam's summary of the family: The signal recognition particle (SRP) is a universally conserved ribonucleoprotein. It is involved in the co-translational targeting of proteins to membranes. NCBI's taxonomy places the organism in Eukaryota, Metazoa, Chordata, Mammalia, Primates, Cercopithecidae. The record is from Ensembl.
GCUGGGUAUGGUGGUGCAUGCCUGUAGUCCCAGCUACUUAGGAGGCUGAGGUGGGAGGAUUGCUUGAGUCCAGGAAUGCCAGGCUACAGUGAGCAGAGAUCGUGCCGCUGCACUCUAGCCUGGGCCACAGAGUAAGAGCCUGUCUCAA